UGUUUUAACUAUUAGGCAUAGCAACAAGACUCUGAUUGGUCGAAAUCGCUGCGGCCGUUACUGAAUUUUCAAAUAGAACAGAGAGCGGGAAGCAGACUACUUUUACCCUUUUAUCAACAGAAAAGCUCUUUGAGAAUGGAUUGUAAGUGUUAAUCUUGAAGACGACGAGAUUUAAAGCCAUGGCAACACAAGAAUUGACGGGCCGAAGUCGCAGCAGCCGUUAACGGAAUUUUCAAACAUCGGAGAGCGGGAAGCAGUCUAGCGCCAGCACAUCCAGGACUUCAACUUCUUUAUCGUUAGAGGAACUUCACAAGCUAAAGAGAGGCUUGACUCGAAUUAUCAGACGAAGAGAGGAGGAAAUUCAAAGAUCACGAAGAUGAUGGAGAAACUGUCAGUGCUGGUCUCAGGGAUAGCACAGCUUUUUUGAGCUUUUCUUGUAAGUAGCAAGUUACAUUGAUCAUACUCGUACAACAAGUCUGUGUCCUCAGCUGUGAAG
Molecule: long non-coding RNA, 496 nt
Filed under: Sinocyclocheilus anshuiensis
Lineage: Eukaryota; Metazoa; Chordata; Actinopteri; Cypriniformes; Cyprinidae
Description: lncRNA (ENSSANG00000049609.1)
Source: RNAcentral